Molecule: long non-coding RNA, 280 nt
Organism: Salvelinus sp. IW2-2015
Lineage: Eukaryota; Metazoa; Chordata; Actinopteri; Salmoniformes; Salmonidae
Source: RefSeq, a predicted model, not a curated record
CUUUGUAGUUCUGAAGACCGAACAGCUAAAAGAUAAUCAGGGAAUCCUUUAUCCCCUCAUGGAGAAUUUUGACGACUCCAACAAUACCUAUACGAAUCAUGCAGAGCCUAUACAUCAAGAGGACAUCGGGAUAGGAAACACAUCGAGGAUUCCUCAGAAAAACAGCCAUCAAACAACCAAAGACUCCUCCCAGGCCUAUACAAACAUAGAAGACCCAAUACACCAAGAGGAAGAGCAGGAAGAGGACGCUGAUGACAUACAGAGUAAAACAUCUGUCACA